AGUGAACGCUGGCGGUAGGCCUAACACAUGCAAGUCGAACGGCAGCACAGUAAGAGCUUGCUCUUACGGGUGGCGAGUGGCGGACGGGUGAGGAAUACAUCGGAAUCUUCUUUUUCGUGGGGGAUAACGUAGGGAAACUUACGCUAAUACCGCAUACGACCUACAGGUGAAAGCAGGGGAUCUUCGGACCUUGCGCGAUUGAAUGAGCCGAUGUCGGAUUAGCUAGUUGGCGGGGUAAAGGCCCACCAAGGCGACGAUCCGUAGCUGGUCUGAGAGGAUGAUCAGCCACACUGGAACUGAGACACGGUCCAGACUCCUACGGGAGGCAGCAGUGGGGAAUAUUGGACAAUGGGCGCAAGCCUGAUCCAGCCAUACCGCGUGGGUGAAGAAGGCCUUCGGGUUGUAAAGCCCUUUUGUUGGGAAAGAAAAGCAGCAGGUUAAUACCCCGCUGUUCUGACGGUACCCAAAGAAUAAGCACCGGCUAACUUCGUG
This 492-nucleotide ribosomal RNA is filed under the name uncultured bacterium. Its description in RNAcentral is "partial 16S ribosomal RNA". It matches the Rfam family "Bacterial small subunit ribosomal RNA", at positions 29 to 507 of the family's 1533-position model. The record is from RNAcentral.